Long non-coding RNA from Sinocyclocheilus rhinocerous, 416 nucleotides. RefSeq lists it as uncharacterized. The transcript has 2 exons. Lineage: Eukaryota; Metazoa; Chordata; Actinopteri; Cypriniformes; Cyprinidae. The record is from RefSeq and is a predicted model, not a curated record.
CUCAUUUACGUGCCAACUCAUUCUGGAAGUUUACAACUUGGAGAGGAAUCCACGGAUACCUCACUGCAUGACACACGGGCACAUUGCUUUUGGGAAAGAAGCCAAAUUCACUGUGAACUGAAACUGUGUCGGGUUUGAUCGGGUGUGUGCGUGGUGGAUCUCUGCUGCUGUCUGAAAUCAGAGACAUGGCGACAAACAACACCAAAAACACCGAUGGACAAGUUGUGACGGAACUCAACGAGAUCACAACUAACGACAAACCCAAAGCAGAGGACGGCAUUUCAGAGAAAACGAAGAAAGACAUUCCAGACAGAGAAACUUGGGGUGGGAAAUUUGAUUUUCUCCUGUCAUGUGUGGGCUACGCCAUCGGACUGGGCAACGUGUGGAGAUUUCCUUAUCUGUGCGGGAAAAACGGC